Rhododendron vialii is the source of this 7738-nucleotide long non-coding RNA. RefSeq lists it as uncharacterized. Lineage: Eukaryota; Viridiplantae; Streptophyta; Magnoliopsida; Ericales; Ericaceae. The transcript is spliced from 2 exons. The record is from RefSeq and is a predicted model, not a curated record.
CUGAAACACACCUGCCAGCAUCCAUCUCUCUCUCUCUCUCAACUCCUCAACCGUUCUCUCUCUCUCCCAACUUCUUAACCGCCCACGCCUCUCUCCCACAACCCCACUCCUCUCUCUCUCUCUCUCAUGGGCUAUGAAUACCCCAUUCUCUCUCAUAUGCGCUUUUCAGAGGCGAGGUUCAGAGACGGAAGUCAAUUGUUGAUCAUAGGCCUUCAGGAAUUUCAACCAAGUUUAAGGUUUUGACAAUUGAAAGUAAUUCGGAACUCGCACCACUCAAUUCUGCUAGCCACCAGGUAUGAUUUCCUCUCUGCUUCAUCUAUUGUCGUGCCUAAAGCUGUGUUUUGUUUUCCGUAUAUAGUAAUUGGAUUUGUUUCCUGUUCAUAAAGAAAUGCAACUGGAUUCCAAAAAAAAGAUUUGGUUAGUUUGAUUUGUUUCCCGUGCAAAUAUACAUUAGUUAUAUUUUUCUAUUGUCAAAUGUGAAGAACGGGUAGUGACCAAAAAAUGGCGUAGGACUGAAUGCAUUUAAAGCCCUUCUUUCCCUAUAUUUUAUUCCCUUUACCUGGGAGGGAUGCUCACAACAUUAUUUUUGUAACCAAUAUUUUCGCCUAUUCAAUUAUUAAUAGCAAAAUUGAAGGCAAGGAGAAAUGGCACAACAAAGACAAAUAGCAACCACAAGGGGCAAGGAAAACGAGCAGCCAAGUGGUGCCAAUGAAAAAAAAAAAACAAAGUAUGAUGCUUAUAACUUCUAUUUUCUUUCCCUUCCACAUUUUAAAGAUAAUUUGUUAUGUACGCAUGCAAGUUGGUGUUGUUCUUUUUUUUUAAAAAAAAUCUUCAAAUGAAAGAUGCGAUUUAUGGAGAGGCUGAACAGGUACGUGAUUAUGAACACCUUUUUUUUACCCCUACAGAGAUUCUAAAUAAGUUUUUAAACUUACAUGGGUCGUAAAUUGUUAAGCUUGAGAACUCUUAGGUUCAAAUAAUUGUAUAUAUAACAUUUUAUGCAGGUUUUCAUGAGGCCUUCUCCAUGUUUGCGUCGUAAUAAUCACUUAGAUAUGUUGAAUGCAGUAUAUGAUUUUGAAUCUAAACGUCAGAGGGAGGGCUUACUAGUUGAAAAUUUUGUUCGACGAAAAAUAGAGACAUGUCGAGCCUUGCAAAAUGUUGGAGAAAAUAUAAGUGAACAAUACCUUAUAGGAAAAAUAGUAGACCUUCUAUCACCAAGCUGGAUGCAUGUGAAGCGAACAAUAUUUCAAAGACAUGUUAUAGAAAAUGCUACACAUUUGAUGAAUGCUUUGAUGGAAGACGAGCAUAAUGUCCACUAUUUGUGGAUGGAGUUUGAGCAAGGGCCAAUGAUGCCAAACUCAACUGUGAGAGCGCACAUUCUAAAUAAAGAAAAUCAAUUUCAUAGUCUAAGGAAAAAAGGCUGCAAGCCAAACAUUGAGAAUUUGGUUCGGCUAUAGUUAAUAACCUCCCGCUCACAUGGCCUAAAGCAACAAUCUUCAAAAACUUGAAACUAAAUUUCUUGGAUAUGAGAGCAUUGGGAGCUAUGCUUGAGGAGAUCGAGACUGCUAUCAUAUGUUCGGAAGCUUUGGACGAAGUAGAGCAACAAUUUAUAGAACAGGAGGAGAAGAAGGGAAAAAAAACCUCGGCAAAAGGUAAUAAUAUAUAUUUUUUAAGAAAAAAUUAUUUGUUAUUUGUUUUCUUUUAGUUAUGUUGAUAGAUUAUGAUAAUUUCACCCUUGCAUAAUAAGAAAAGCUAAUUACAAGGCAUGAUAAUUAGGGCAAAACCCCUGUUUAAUGAAGGCAAAACAUCAGUGUACAAUCUUUAAAUCGUUAAACCUGUUCUUACUUUGAAAUGAUGCCUUCUACCUAACGUGCGUAUUUGCUAAUAACAAAUACUAGAGGUUGGGUCACACGCGAUGCAUGUGCAAAUCGGAUUUUCACAACGUUUUUGUAUAAAUGCUUCCCAGUUAUUGUUUGAUCAAAAUUUCACAAAUAUUGUGAAAAUCCGACUUGCACACGCAUCGCAUGUGCCCCGACCUCUAGUGACAUAUAAAUGACUCAUGGUGUUGGUGUGAUAUCCGUUCCACUUUGACGUGCUCGUAGACUUAUAGCAGUUAUGGUCUACGAGAUAGCAAAACCGUCGGGAUUUUGUUCGGGUUUGAUUUUGGUUUUAGUAUUUUGGGUUGAGCUCGGGAUUAGGAAAAAACCGGGUCGAACCAACCCAUUCUCACUGAUUGAUGCAGCAUAGACUUUUCGGCAAAUCUCAUCAACUGGAUCAAAUCUAGCACUUUAGUCCAAACCAAACGGAGUUCUGUGUGUACUUGUAAAUCGAAAAUCAAAUAAAGUUUGUCUCGAUGGUAGAGUGGUCGGCCAUUAAUUAAUUGGUUGCGGGUUUGAAUCCUACUUGGAAAUUAUAUAGAAGCACAUAAUUGGUUGAAGAUACACUAUACAGUUUCGAAUAAAUAAUAUGAAGAAGACUCUGUUUAUUUAACACUUUUUUAAACAAUUAAUUUUAAAAAGUACUAUUAAGUAAACAGAGUCUUAUUUAUAUUUAUUCAAUCCUAGAAGUGCAAUUAACUCAACAUUCACAGCCCACUUCCAUCCACUAAAUGCAGACAAUGAGAAACCUGGUUGUUUGGGCGUGUAUGGAGUUCCAUACAGGUUACUGGCCCAAAUGUAUCGAAGAAGCCCAGCCCAAAAUACCACCUUGUUGCUCCACUAAAUGUAUUAUGGCCAUGAGGCUUGGCUUCCCUGCGUGGGUGCUCCAGAAGCCUCGACCAUCACACCCUAUAUGUGCGGUCUAUAUACAUAAUCGUGAAUUUCACAAAAAUAUUUAAUGACCAUGAAUAUUGGAGCCCCCCAUGGCCAUCCAAUAACUUUCUCUCAUUGAAACCCCAAGGAGUUUUGUUCAAAGUGGGGAUGAGAAAGGCGCUCGUACUUUAUGAGGUCGCAUGUUCGAAUUUCACGGAGGCCAAACAUUUCAAACGUUGGGGCUGCUUGGAAGGUUUGUUCUGUCGUUAAUUUCAGGACCACGAAAUUAAUCGAGGUGCGCACGAGUUGACCUAAACAUCCAGUCAUAAAAAAAAAAACAAAAAAAAAACUCUCUCAUGUAGUUGUCCAAGUCAUUGUCCAUUAAUAAACAACACUCACUCAAGGACAAGGACUUCCCCAUCAUGCCUGCACAUUUUUUCUGCAAAAAUUGACAGAAAUAAGAAGAAUGUAUUUAGCGAUAUAUAAAUUGUAUCUGGAUAACUAUUCAAGUGUUGAUGUUGACCAACAUCUAUUCGGGAUCUGCUUCCUCCAUACACCUUCAAACUAGUAGUAUUAUAUUUUGUGCCCGUCCAGAGCUUGUAACAAUGAUCGAACCGUUCACCUUGCAGUCCCGUGAAAGAAAACAUUUUAUCAAAAAAUCAACUUGUUUUAUCAAAAAAUCAACUUGACAGAUAUAUCAAUAAAAAUAUGAACAAAUCUUCAUAGAAGACAAAUAUAAUCUAGAACUUAAAUCGUCCAUAAUUUAAACAAUAUAUACCUAAUUCAUGUACCUACUAAUAUCCGUCUGUUUUAUGAGAUACUCUACAAGACUUAUAAGAUGAGCAGUUUGAAUCGUUUUUUAAUAGCAAGGGAUAAAGAGUUAAAAGACCCCCAAAAAUGAUAGUUUGGUGCAGUACGGGGAGAUGAGAUGACAAAGGAGAGCUAAUCCCUAUUCAUUUGUCAUUCUUCUUCUUCCAGCCCAACCAAACUGGAUAACAUAGGAACAUAAUAAUAUGUAGUAUUUUAGCAAACCAGUUUUUUGAAAACUGUCAACAGGAGAGAGAUUAAUCAGACCCAUACGACCAGACCUAAACUACAGGGUAGUCUGGGUCCGAUUAAUCAGACCUCAAUAGAGUUCUUUAUCUCAGCAUCAUGAUCAGAAGCAUUCACUUUAUUUCUAAGCACUUCAGUUGUACUCAUUAUGAGAUUAAUGGGAUAUCAAAUAGCUAAGCACUUCAGUUGUACACAUAAUAAGAUUAACGGGAUUUUAGCAAACCACGUGAUCCAGUUAAAUCUGUCUUACAUAGUAAUUUCCAAAAAAAAAUCAUAUAGACCAUCCAAUUUUUAAAAUUCAUGUUGUCAGAUCAUCUAACUUUUGAUAUCUCAUCAAUCUGAUUUUUCUAUAAAUAAUAUUUUGACUACUUUUGUAAAACGAACGGUUCAGAUCAUAAUAGCGAGAUUUUAAAGGGACUCAUUCAGAUGCGCUAUAGCCCUUUCGUGCAUUAGAACACCAUAGGUCCCCUCAACAAAUAGAUUUAUCUUUUCCGUAACAUUCCGUUCCACACCGGAAGCUUCCAUAGGAUAUAUAAGAAACCAUAUAAGUUGUUACUAACUUGAGCAUUUUGAAUCACAUGGAUAGGCUCCAACAAGUUAUUGACCCAGUGGUCUACAUAGGGUGCUAUGCCUGAGGACAUUGCACAUGGUUGGAAGCUAAAGCCUCACUUGGAUUAUUAACACCCGCUGAAUGCUACAUGGUACCUUCUUAGGUAUAUCUUUUAAGGCCAAGUUUUCAUGCCGAAAGAGGGCCCAUGGUCAGCCAGGUCGGAUCGUUACAUUUUCAACUUCAUCUUUCUUUUACGAAGUUGGAAGUUAGAUCCAAGCAAAGUUAAUUAUAAUUCCAAACUAGAUGGAUUUUCUCUAUCUACUUAAUUUUUUUUGGCUUGUGGGUUGCCAGAGAGGCUAGGUGAAUUGAACAAGGCAGGGCUAACAUGUCUUUGUCCAGAGCUUAGCUGUUCCUUACCAAUUCAAUUAAUAUUCCACUCUCAUUUUGAAAAGACUAAAUCUUACAAGCUUAAAAGCAUUGGCUGUGGCUGUCUAGUGGUCCCCUUUAAUGCAUCCAAUCUUCAAUCAUAACUGCUUCUAUAGGGGUGGACCGGGUGGUUUUGCCUUCUUCCAAAACAAGCCAAUUUCUCUAUUUGCUUCCAUCCCAAGAGUUCCAAACUACUCAAUCCUCAUCAGGCAUACAUUAAAAUGACAAGAAGAAUCAUUUGAAUGAGAAUCUCACAAAAUGGCAAAUACAUAUAGAAUUUGCAAACUUCUUCCAAUCAUUCACGGCAACAUGCACACUGAUAACAUGCUACUCGAAUGAAAAUAGAAUUUCCAGCACAGACAGUGGAGUGUGUGAUCUGGAUUCGUACGAUAUCAUAGAUGGUUUGUUGAAAACUUCCCAAAGGAAACAUGGGUAUUCCUAUCAAUCAAGCUAGUUUACUCCAACUGGGAAACAGUCUUCAGGAGGACAAUAUGCUACUAGUAAACAGCUUCAAGGUAUCCAGGAUCUUGAUACCUAAAUCCAAUGCCAAAAAUAGACCACACACUUACACAGUACUGAAGCCCACAAUAGAUCUCCAUUUUCUCUAUUCUAUAUGAUGUCAACCAUUCACAAAGUUGGCAUGUUGUUAUCAUCAUGGGCUAACCCGAAUCAUGGUAUAGAUAAUUGAACUUGUGCAUGUCCCAGGCGAUUCAAAUACAGAUUAAUUCAAGAGAUAUCAGUUACAACUACUUAAUGAUAGCAAGCACCUGCCACUUUGUCAUCCAUUUCAGAAUGAAAUACCAAACUUCAGAGUGUAAAGAAAAUGUGAAAUCAGAAGCAAAUCGAUUAAUGAACAAGCAAAACAGAAGGCGAACAAGCCAACAAAUACAAUAGAUAAACAAACUUCCUCAUAUAGUUCUAAAACGUUUGCAUCAAAACAUCAUACACAUAUAUACAGUACAAUGGAUAUUUUUCAUUCAUGUCACAUGAUUAGCCAUAUAUGAAACGUUAGCUAGCACCGACCUAGGAUUGAUCAGCCACCAAACAUUACCCCGACACUUCAAAGCUUACUCUCCUCUGUCAACAGCAGGCAGAAAGGGUAAUUUUCUUGAUUCGGUAGAUCUGCUAAACAGAGUUAAAACGGCUUUGCCGCCUAUGAUCACUAAAUACAUAAAACCACAUUACUCAUAGUCCAAACACCUGAGAGCCAAUAUAGAGACAGCUUUCCAAUCCAGCUAGUUGCUGAACCAAUUGCCUUCUUCAAUCAUCAUCCCAAAGGCCAGCUAUCUCGCCAGAGAUGAACCAGACCAACCGAAGUAGCACAACAGCAAUUACAAAAACCAACUACAGAGUACUAAAGUUCAAACAAUUGCAAACAUGCAUAUUUGCAGGAGAUAACAACUGUGGCCAAGGUCAAGCUUUCAAGUAUUGUCGGGCGUCAGUAAAAGAUUACGUCUAUUAACAAUUAACAAUUAACGAAAUCACUUAUUUCGUCCAUAACAGUGUAGAAGUUGUCAUUGUUUGGCAACAAGUAGAACCCAAUUGUUGCCCGCUCCAAAUAUAAAAGCUUCACUUCUUGGCCAUACUUCUUUAGCCCUUCAACGUAAGCCAACUGCCAAUCCUGAACAAGAUCGAAACCAGCCACGACCACAAGACUCUUUGGGAAUUUGAUUCCAUCAAGGCUUAUACCUUUUGGACCAAACGGGUUGCACGCUGGAUGGUCCCUAUCCUCCCCUUCAGGAAGAAAUGCCCUCCAAUACCAAUCCCGAUCUUGGAUAGAAACAAAGUAUUUCCCAUCCAAACGCUUCUCCGAUUCAGUUCUCAUCUCCCCACCAAACAUCGGGUUCAGCAUUAUGUUUCCCAAUACUUCAAUCCCCGAUUCUACAGCUCUCAAAGCAACAUUAUGAACAAUAUUACCCCCAGAGCUAUCUCCAGCCAAGUAUAUAUGAACUUUCGAGUCCUUUUGGCUUUGAAGCCAAGGCCUUGAAUUCACCCACUUAAGAGCAGCCCAUCCAUCAUCAUAGGCACAAGGGUAUUGGUUUUCAGGUGCUCUCCGGUAGUUAACUGAUACCACAACAGCCUUACAAAUGCCCACUAGGCGGCGGCAAAGUGUGUCAUAAAUAGCACUAUUCGAAGAGGAGUGAGCAAAGCUUCCGCCGUGGAAGAAAAUAAUAACUGGGACAAUAUCAGAGGUCAAGGGCUUUUCAAGUUCAACCAUAGUAGGAAGACCUUCAGUGUCAGAAAGGCGAUAGACUCGAUUAAGUAGGCCAAUCUCGCGGUCAAUUAUCACAUCGAAUGAGAAAACCCCAUCAACCGGGUUAGCAUUGGCAGGCACUUUCCUGUCAAGAAACUCUGCCAAAUGGCGAUUGAAAGUGCCAUCCGGGCGACGGAGAAGAGUGUAAGCUAGCUUGAAAUUGGAGAUCAGGACCCAUGUGUUUAGUGGAACCACCAUCUAUGCAUAAAAUGGAAGUGAAACUGAGAUAGAAUGCUCAUUCAAUCCUAUAAAUAGUAAUAUCUCCACCAAUAUAGAGUAUCUAAUCACACAAACAAAAAAAGCAAAGGCGAUGCCCAUUAUGAGUCACCAACAUGAUAACAUGUCCAAAAGAGUAAGGAUUCAAAAUCCAAAAUACCCAAAAGAUACGCAGAAAAGUACUUACGGUACACAAGAGAACGAAUUAAAACAAAGCAAUAAGCAGGGAAAUUAGUCAUGGAUAGAAUGGAAAGCAGCAGACCUAUAGCAACCUACUGCACUUGUUAAAAGAAAAUCUCCUAGAGACCUCAACAUAGAAACAAAUUUACGAACAAAUCUUGGCCCAAUCUUCAUAUUGGUGAAAACCCAUCUAGAAAUCACCAAUUCAAGUUAAUACAAAGCAACAAAUCCAAAACCCUAGUCAAAGAUUAAAGAAAAUAAACAAAGGGUCCUUCCCACGGCUGUCAAUAAGCUAACAAAAAGAUAGGGGGG